UGGGGGAUAUUGCACAAUGGGCGAAAGCCUGAUGCAGCGACGCCGCGUGGGGGAUGAAGGCCUUCGGGUUGUAAACUUCUUUUGCUCUGAACAAGGCGCACCAUGGGGUGUGUUGAGUGUAGGGGUUGAUUAGCGCCGGCUAACUACGUGCCAGCAGCCGCGGUAAUACGUAGGGCGCGAGCGUUGUCCGGAAUUAUUGGGCGUAAAGGGCUUGUAGGUGGCUGGUUGCGUCUGUCGUGAAAGCUCAUGGCUUAACUGUGGGUUUGCGGUGGGUACGGGCUGUCUUGAGUGCAGUAGGGGAGGCUGGAAUUCCUGGUGUAGCGGUGGAAUGCGCAGAUAUCAGGUGGAAUACCGGUGGCGAAGGCGGGUCUCUGGGCUGUUACUGACACUGAGGAGCGAAAGCAUGGGAAGCGAACAGG
This 419-nucleotide ribosomal RNA is filed under the name bacterium. RNAcentral's name for it is "partial 16S ribosomal RNA". It matches the Rfam family "Bacterial small subunit ribosomal RNA", at positions 355 to 776 of the family's 1533-position model. The record is from RNAcentral.